This 290-nucleotide long non-coding RNA is filed under the name Lathyrus oleraceus (garden pea). RNAcentral's name for it is "Pisum sativum (pea) long non-coding RNA (PSAT_LNC037582)". The record is from RNAcentral. Lineage: Eukaryota; Viridiplantae; Streptophyta; Magnoliopsida; Fabales; Fabaceae.
AAAGUUAUAAGUAUUUUUAAACAAUUAAAAAUAUGCACAAAAACAUUUAAUUAAUGAAAAAUAUCAAAAUUAAUCCAAAAAAUAAUUUUAAUUCAGAAAAUGAAAGAGAAAAAUAUUUAAAGAUUUUUGGUGAAAGUCCCAUAUUUUUUGGAUUAAAUGAAAUUAUUAUGAAUAAAAUAAAAUAAAUGGAAUAAACAUAAAUUCAAAAAUUAAAAAGAAAAAAAAAGGGCCAUCAGAUCUCCCUCAUUAAUUGAGGUGGCAGAUCUGAAGGCAAAAAGCGCACAUUCCAC